GAUGAACGCUGGCGGCGUGCCUAAUACAUGCAAGUCGAGCGAACAGACGAGGAGCUUGCUCCUCUGACGUUAGCGGCGGACGGGUGAGUAACACGUGGAUAACCUACCUAUAAGACUGGGAUAACUUCGGGAAACCGGAGCUAAUACCGGAUAACAUGUUGAACCGCAUGGUUCAACAGUGAAAGACGGUCUUGCUGUCACUUAUAGAUGGAUCCGCGCCGCAUUAGCUAGUUGGUAAGGUAACGGCUUACCAAGGCAACGAUGCGUAGCCGACCUGAGAGGGGGAUCGGCCACACUGGAACUGAGACACGGUCCAGACUCCUACGGGAGGCAGCAGUAGGGAAUCUUCCGCAAUGGGCGAAAGCCUGACGGAGCAACGCCGCGUGAGUGAAGAAGGUCUUCGGAUCGUAAAACUCUGUUAUUAGGGAAGAACAAAUGUGUAAGUAACUAUGCACGUCUUGACGGUACCUAAUCAGAAAGCCACGGCUAACUACGUGCCAGCAGCCGCCGCAG
This 513-nucleotide ribosomal RNA is filed under the name uncultured bacterium. Its description in RNAcentral is "partial 16S ribosomal RNA". It matches the Rfam family "Bacterial small subunit ribosomal RNA", at positions 28 to 523 of the family's 1533-position model. The record is from RNAcentral.